UUCGGGAAUGAAGUUCUCCCAUGGGCAACCAAAACUGCUUUUAUGAGCUGAUGACUUCUGCGAUU
RNAcentral lists this non-coding RNA (65 nucleotides) under uncultured Clostridium sp. RNAcentral's name for it is "Fluoride riboswitch". It matches the Rfam family "Fluoride riboswitch aptamer (crcB RNA motif)", at positions 10 to 62 of the family's 64-position model. The record is from RNAcentral. Lineage: Bacteria; Bacillati; Bacillota; Clostridia; Eubacteriales; Clostridiaceae.